Molecule: ribosomal RNA, 253 nt
Filed under: uncultured bacterium
Lineage: Bacteria
Description: partial 16S ribosomal RNA
Rfam family: Bacterial small subunit ribosomal RNA
Source: RNAcentral
UACGGGGGGUGCGAGCGUUGUCCGGAAUCACUGGGCGUAAAGGGCGCGUAGGUGGUUUGAUAAGGGUGUGGUGAAAGCCCGGGGCUCAACCCCGGGUCUGCCGUGCCGACUGUCAAACUCGAGGGCUGUAGAGGCAGACGGAAUUCCGGGUGUAGCGGUGGAAUGCGUAGAGAUCCGGAGGAAGACCGGCGGCGAAGGCGGUCUGCUGGGCAGUUUCUGACACUGAUGCGCGACAGCGUGGGGAGCAAACAGG